Molecule: non-coding RNA, 1020 nt
Organism: Pelodiscus sinensis (Chinese soft-shelled turtle)
Lineage: Eukaryota; Metazoa; Chordata; Testudines; Trionychidae
Source: RefSeq, a predicted model, not a curated record
CAGCCGGGACAUGCCAGGGCCAGCCUCUCCUGCCAAAUAUCGCGAGAUGAGAAGGCGCUGCGGGAUUCUCUCGUAAAGGAGCCGCAAUUCCCCUCCCCACGAAGGCUGGCGCUUCCAGGAGGAAACGACGUGACGUGUUGAGUUCUCGCGCUGUGCGCCCGGCUCAGGCUGGGUGGCCCGGGAGGCUGCAGCCAGCCCCAGGGACUCACCCUGCCUGCUCCUCCCCUGCACCGGGCCGCGCGGCACUUUCACCCCAGGCGCAGGCUGCGCUGCAAAGCGGGGCCAUGGAGCAGCAGCCGCAGCGCGCCGGUCCUGCUAGGCGCGGUAAGGCAGGCGGGGAAGACCAAGAGCAACGCACCCGAGCAGCCUAUCAAGUGUCUGUGCAGGGUUACAAUAUAAAUUGGAAUAUCAAUGAGGAUGGAGUUCCAGGGAAGGUGUGCAUGAAUGGCUCAGAUCCCAGUCCGUCAGAGUGGAACCAAAUAGAAUCUGUGCCUUUGAAAGAGAACCCUAGAAGCCAGAGCUUGUGACAGAAGUCUGCCAGACCCAGAGGAGCUUAAAAUCACACAGAUUCAGUGCGUAGGUCCAAAUACAGCUAUCCGAAGUGCUGACCAGCCAGAAGUCCUACUGCAGUCACUGGGAACUUCAGUGAAAAUUAGGCAUAAUGCCAUGAAGAGAGUCUCUAAACUGUCCUUGGAACUUAGUGAUGGGAUCUCAAUUCAAUAAAAGAACACCUCAUCUGUCACAGUGUCCUUUUUGUCACUCAAGUACACAAUUUGUUACAUUUAUGAGUGGAGAAUUUGUCUCAACUCUCAGGAAACCUGUGGUAGAAACUCAGCUCUGGUAUAAACACACAACUGUGUUAUCCAUUCUUCAAAAAUUCAGAGGUCUGCCAAACCCAGUUAAAUCAUCUUCUAAAGCCAAACUGAAUCUGAUUAAUCCUUUGGCCCAGCACACAAAAAAAAAGAUAUGCACAAUAAGCAAUGUCUUUGUCAAGUACACACUUCCCACCUUACAUGAAUA